GCGGGAUUAGUUGAGCGGUUCAACGCUACCUUCCCAAGGUAGAAAGAGGGGUUCGACUCCCCUAUCCCGCU
Molecule: non-coding RNA, 71 nt
Organism: Candidatus Woesebacteria bacterium
Lineage: Bacteria; Candidatus Woeseibacteriota
Source: Rfam